UUGUUGCACCAGAAGCAGGUAGCUUAACCGCGAGGAGGGCGCUUGCCACGGUGUGGCCGAUGACUGGGGUGAAGUCGUAACAAGGUAGCCGUAUCGGAAGGUGCGGCUGGAUCACCUCCUUU
RNAcentral lists this ribosomal RNA (122 nucleotides) under Xylella fastidiosa. Its description in RNAcentral is "partial 16S ribosomal RNA". It matches the Rfam family "Bacterial small subunit ribosomal RNA", at positions 1412 to 1533 of the family's 1533-position model. Lineage: Bacteria; Pseudomonadati; Pseudomonadota; Gammaproteobacteria; Lysobacterales; Lysobacteraceae. The record is from RNAcentral.